UUCAAACAGACAGACUUCUAUCAUAAUACAGGAAGACAGGAAGUAAGCUGGGUGGGAACCAGAGGGGUGGUGAACUUCCACCUCUCACUUCCUGUAAGGCCUAGUCUGAAAAGGAAAGCAUGGCAUGGUGGAGAUACUCUGUAUUCUCCUGGAUGGAUUCUCCUGGAUUAAAGAUGGGCCGCCAGCCGCUGUCAAAGCACCUGACCAAGACUGACAGCUGGUGAAUGGAAAACCAGAAUAGGCACUUGGAAGAAGGAAACCAACAACUGAGACAACUUGCCUUUGAUUUGCCUGGUGUAAUGGAUACUUUGAAAA
Rana temporaria (common frog) is the source of this 315-nucleotide long non-coding RNA. RefSeq lists it as uncharacterized. Lineage: Eukaryota; Metazoa; Chordata; Amphibia; Anura; Ranidae. The record is from RefSeq and is a predicted model, not a curated record. The transcript is spliced from 3 exons.